Molecule: unclassified non-coding RNA, 332 nt
Filed under: soil metagenome
Description: partial contains 5.8S ribosomal RNA, internal transcribed spacer 2, and large subunit ribosomal RNA
Rfam family: 5.8S ribosomal RNA (bases 1-120)
Source: RNAcentral
GAUGAAGACCGUAGCGAAAUGCGAUAAGUAGUGUGAAUUGCAGAAUUCAGUGAAUCAUCGAAUCUUUGAACGCACAUUGCGCCCUUUGGUAUUCCUUAGGGCAUGCCUGUUCGAGCGUCAUUUAAACCUUCAAGCUAAGCUUGGUGUUGGGUGACUGUCCGCUUCACUGCGGACUCGCCUCAAAAUUAUUGGCGGCCGGUACAUUGGCUUCGAGCGCAGCAGAAACGCGAACUCGGGCCCGUCGUAUUGGCUCCCAGAAGCUAUCUUCACAAUUUUAACCUCGGAUCAGGUAGGGAUACCCGCUGAACUUAAGCAUAUCAAUAAGCGGAGGA